AAGAAACAAAGAGUUCCCUUAUGGCUGGUGGUAUGGUGUUGUAGGCCACUUGGAAACGUGUGAUGGAAAUGAGUAUUACUGUCGUUGUCAUGAAAAUGAUACAGUAGUGCUAGAGUUCAACCAGUAUACUCAUGGAUCGCGGUGGAGGACAACACACAUUGAUAGGAAAGAUCAUCGCGAGGAAGGGAAUGAGGCUGAUGGAUUUUAUGGAGGAAUCCGGAAACUUCAUAGCAAUGAAGAGAUUUCUAUGUGGAGACGCCUGUGGCCAUCCGAUGUCUUGGAGUAAGUUGCAAGCUCACCAUUGUUGGCAAAAACCACAUUUGUACCUUCAGAAUGUGAGGAAGUUAACACCUGAACUUGGAAGUAAGCCAUUUUCAGUAUACCACUUCGACUUCUAUUGUUUUGUGAUCAGUGGGGGGAGUUAUUUCGACACUGAUCCUACUUGUUUGUAAAAUGAUUACCACGUUUACAGAUCGAUUUGUUUAGUAAAAUCUAUUAAAGCUCUAGUUAACUUCUUGUACUAAGGAAUUAGAUUGUUGAUCCACCUUAAUGGUUUCUGUUGAUCAGUGAAAGGAAAGAAGCCUGGUUAUUGGAAUACUUAAUAAGUUUAUGUUCUA
RNAcentral lists this unclassified non-coding RNA (617 nucleotides) under Hevea brasiliensis (rubber tree). Lineage: Eukaryota; Viridiplantae; Streptophyta; Magnoliopsida; Malpighiales; Euphorbiaceae. The record is from RNAcentral.